Molecule: long non-coding RNA, 709 nt
Organism: Ipomoea nil (Japanese morning glory)
Lineage: Eukaryota; Viridiplantae; Streptophyta; Magnoliopsida; Solanales; Convolvulaceae
Exons: 4
Source: RefSeq, a predicted model, not a curated record
CGACGGCCCUCUGCAAAAACAAAAGUCAGUAGACUUAGCGAACACACAGUAGAUCGACGAUAACAGCUUCUCCCACGGCGAACUUCAAUCUCUCGCCAACACGGUGGUAACCUCGGCGCCAUCACCGCAGUAGCGAGAAACACCUACGCCGUUUAUCCCUCCCUGGCCAGCCACCGCCGUCGCCGUCCUCCCUCCCCGGCCAGUCACCGCCGUCGCGUCUUCCCUCUCCGUCCAGCCACCGCCGUCGCGUCUUCCCUCUCCGUCCAGCCACCGCCGUCGCUCCAACAUCCUUCGGCCUCACUACAAGCUUUCAGAAGAGCGAAUUAAAAGUUGGACUUGCUGAAGAAUGUAGCAGAUUGUUCCCCCAAUGCAAACCCACAAGAUUCUCGUCAGCUUCUUCCAUCCAUUGUUCAGCUUCUAAAGAAAUACAUGGUUCGGAAAAAGAUUGAAGAAAUAAACUUUACAUAUAUUGAGUGCUUGUUGUAUGCAUUUCACCUCCUGGCUCAUAAGACUCCUAAUGCAACAAAUAGUCUUUGCGGCUAUAAGAUUGUAACUGGUCAACCAUCAGACCGGUUGGGGGAGGACUUCUCAGAGCAGUAUCGCGACUUUACUGAGAGGUGCUAUCUCCUUGUUUUUGCUUCUUUUAAAUAUAUGAAAUUCUGACUUGUUCACCACAAUUUCAAAGGGAGUGUUAGUUUUUUUGCUCUAU